Molecule: ribosomal RNA, 371 nt
Filed under: uncultured bacterium
Lineage: Bacteria
Description: bacterial SSU rRNA
Rfam family: Bacterial small subunit ribosomal RNA
Source: RNAcentral
ACGUAGGGUGCAAGCGUUAAUCGGAAUUACUGGGCGUAAAGCGUGCGCAGGCGGCUUUGCAAGACAGAUGUGAAAUCCCCGGGCUCAACCUGGGAACUGCAUUUGUGACUGCAUGGCUAGAGUGCGGCAGAGGGGGAUGGAAUUCCGCGUGUAGCAGUGAAAUGCGUAGAUAUGCGGAGGAACACCGAUGGCGAAGGCAAUCCCCUGGGCCUGCACUGACGCUCAUGCACGAAAGCAUGGGGAGCAAACAGGAUUAGAUACCCUGGUAGUCCAUGCCCUAAACGAUGUCAACUGGUUGUUGGGAAUUAACUUUCUCAGUAACGAAGCUAACGCGUGAAGUUGACCGCCUGGGGAGUACGGCCGCAAGGUUG